GGGAAUGUGGCUUAGUGGUAGAGUUCUUGCCUAGCAUGCAUGAAGCCCAGGUUUGAUUCCUUAGUACCA
RNAcentral lists this transfer RNA (69 nucleotides) under Dipodomys ordii (Ord's kangaroo rat). It matches the Rfam family "tRNA". Rfam says of the family: Transfer RNA (tRNA) molecules are approximately 80 nucleotides in length. Their secondary structure includes four short double-helical elements and three loops (D, anti-codon, and T loops). Further hydrogen bonds mediate the characteristic L-shaped molecular structure. tRNAs have two regions of fundamental functional importance: the anti-codon, which is responsible for specific mRNA codon recognition, and the 3' end, to which the tRNAs corresponding amino acid is attached (by aminoacyl-tRNA synthetases). tRNAs cope with the degeneracy of the genetic code in two manners: having more than one tRNA (with a specific anti-codon) for a particular amino acid; and 'wobble' base-pairing, i.e. permitting non-standard base-pairing at the 3rd anti-codon position. Lineage: Eukaryota; Metazoa; Chordata; Mammalia; Rodentia; Heteromyidae. The record is from Rfam by way of RNAcentral.